RNAcentral lists this ribosomal RNA (1427 nucleotides) under metagenome. Its description in RNAcentral is "bacterial SSU rRNA". It matches the Rfam family "Bacterial small subunit ribosomal RNA". The record is from RNAcentral.
AGCUUGCUGUUUCGCUGACGAGUGGCGGACGGGUGAGUAAUGUCUGGGAAACUGCCUGAUGGAGGGGGAUAACUACUGGAAACGGUAGCUAAUACCGCAUAACGUCGCAAGACCAAAGAGGGGGACCCUCGGGCCUCUUGCCAUCGGAUGUGCCCAGAUGGGAUUAGCUUGUUGGUGGGGUAACGGCUCACCAAGGCGACGAUCCCUAGCUGGUCUGAGAGGAUGACCAGCCACACUGGAACUGAGACACGGUCCAGACUCCUACGGGAGGCAGCAGUGGGGAAUAUUGCACAAUGGGCGCAAGCCUGAUGCAGCCAUGCCGCGUGUAUGAAGAAGGCCUUCGGGUUGUAAAGUACUUUCAGCGGGGAGGAAGGGAGUAAAGUUAAUACCUUUGCUCAUUGACGUUACCCGCAGAAGAAGCACCGGCUAACUCCGUGCCAGCAGCCGCGGUAAUACGGAGGGUGCAAGCGUUAAUCGGAAUUACUGGGCGUAAAGCGCACGCAGGCGGUUUGUUAAGUCAGAUGUGAAAUCCCCGGGCUCAACCUGGGAACUGCAUCUGAUACUGGCAAGCUUGAGUCUCGUAGAGGGGGGUAGAAUUCCAGGUGUAGCGGUGAAAUGCGUAGAGAUCUGGAGGAAUACCGGUGGCGAAGGCGGCCCCCUGGACGAAGACUGACGCUCAGGUGCGAAAGCGUGGGGAGCAAACAGGAUUAGAUACCCUGGUAGUCCACGCCGUAAACGAUGUCGACUUGGAGGUUGUGCCCUUGAGGCGUGGCUUCCGGAGCUAACGCGUUAAGUCGACCGCCUGGGGAGUACGGCCGCAAGGUUAAAACUCAAAUGAAUUGACGGGGGCCCGCACAAGCGGUGGAGCAUGUGGUUUAAUUCGAUGCAACGCGAAGAACCUUACCUGGUCUUGACAUCCACGGAAGUUUUCAGAGAUGAGAAUGUGCCUUCGGGAACCGUGAGACAGGUGCUGCAUGGCUGUCGUCAGCUCGUGUUGUGAAAUGUUGGGUUAAGUCCCGCAACGAGCGCAACCCUUAUCCUUUGUUGCCAGCGGUCCGGCCGGGAACUCAAAGGAGACUGCCAGUGAUAAACUGGAGGAAGGUGGGGAUGACGUCAAGUCAUCAUGGCCCUUACGACCAGGGCUACACACGUGCUACAAUGGCGCAUACAAAGAGAAGCGACCUCGCGAGAGCAAGCGGACCUCAUAAAGUGCGUCGUAGUCCGGAUUGGAGUCUGCAACUCGACUCCAUGAAGUCGGAAUCGCUAGUAAUCGUGGAUCAGAAUGCCACGGUGAAUACGUUCCCGGGCCUUGUACACACCGCCCGUCACACCAUGGGAGUGGGUUGCAAAAGAAGUAGGUAGCUUAACCUUCGGGAGGGCGCUUACCACUUUGUGAUUCAUGACUGGGGUGAAGUCGUAACAAGGUA